UUGUUGUAGAAAAGCUCCUCGCGGCUUUCGGUCGCGAACUCGAAGUUCGGUCCCUCGACGAUGGC
Molecule: transfer RNA, 65 nt
Filed under: Allostella humosa
Lineage: Bacteria; Pseudomonadati; Pseudomonadota; Alphaproteobacteria; Rhodospirillales; Allostellaceae
Description: Stella humosa tRNA-Glu
Source: RNAcentral